Enterococcus rotai is the source of this 208-nucleotide non-coding RNA. NCBI's taxonomy places the organism in Bacteria, Bacillati, Bacillota, Bacilli, Lactobacillales, Enterococcaceae. The record is from Rfam.
AAAAAAUCGAUGAAAGAACGAGUAGAUUUCAAACUAACUGUAGAAGAGAAAGUUGCCAUGGCUGAAAGCAACUUCAUUAGAGAGAUCGAAAGACAUUCUGGAGAUGAACGGAGGAAAAGCCGUUCCGUUACGAGCGUUAAUCGUUGGAGGAAAGAGCAAUCUUUCGAACUUAGGUGGUACCGCGUGUGUCUAUUCACUCGCCCUUGUA